AUACUUACUGGCAGGGGAGAUCCCAUGAUCACGAGGGUGGUUUUCCCAGGGUGAGCCUGUGCACUCCAGAUAUGCUGACCCCUGCAAUUUCCCCAAAUGUGUGAAACUUGACAGCAUAAUUUGUGGUAGUGGGGGACCGCGUUCACGCUUUCCCCUG
RNAcentral lists this small nuclear RNA (157 nucleotides) under Aotus nancymaae (Ma's night monkey). Its description in RNAcentral is "U1 spliceosomal RNA (ENSANAG00000016638.1)". It matches the Rfam family "U1 spliceosomal RNA". Rfam says of the family: U1 is a small nuclear RNA (snRNA) component of the spliceosome (involved in pre-mRNA splicing). Its 5' end forms complementary base pairs with the 5' splice junction, thus defining the 5' donor site of an intron. There are significant differences in sequence and secondary structure between metazoan and yeast U1 snRNAs, the latter being much longer (568 nucleotides as compared to 164 nucleotides in human). The record is from Rfam by way of RNAcentral. Lineage: Eukaryota; Metazoa; Chordata; Mammalia; Primates; Aotidae.